RNAcentral lists this transfer RNA (72 nucleotides) under Suillus luteus UH-Slu-Lm8-n1. Its description in RNAcentral is "tRNA-Ser (GGA) (tRNA-Ser-GGA-1-1)". It matches the Rfam family "tRNA". From Rfam's summary of the family: Transfer RNA (tRNA) molecules are approximately 80 nucleotides in length. Their secondary structure includes four short double-helical elements and three loops (D, anti-codon, and T loops). Lineage: Eukaryota; Fungi; Basidiomycota; Agaricomycetes; Boletales; Suillaceae. The record is from Rfam by way of RNAcentral.
GGCUGGAUAGUCUAGUGGUUCAGACAUCCCCCUGGAGUUGGGAAGACCUAGGUUCAAAUCCUGGUCCUGCCA